This 253-nucleotide ribosomal RNA is filed under the name uncultured bacterium. Its description in RNAcentral is "partial 16S ribosomal RNA". It matches the Rfam family "Bacterial small subunit ribosomal RNA", at positions 524 to 776 of the family's 1533-position model. The record is from RNAcentral.
UACGUAGGGGGCAAGCGUUGUCCGGAUUUAUUGGGCGUAAAGAGCGUGUAGGCGGCUAGGUAGGUCCGCUGUGAAAACUCGAGGCUCAACCUCGAGACGUCGAUGGAAACCAUCUAGCUAGAGUCCGGAAGAGGAGAGUGGAAUUCCUGGUGUAGCGGUGAAAUGCGCAGAUAUCAGGAAGAACACCCGUGGCGAAGGCGGCUCUCUAGUACGUGACUGACGCUGAGACGCGAAAGCGUGGGGAGCGAACAGG